RNAcentral lists this ribosomal RNA (836 nucleotides) under uncultured Propionibacterium sp. RNAcentral describes it as "bacterial SSU rRNA". It matches the Rfam family "Bacterial small subunit ribosomal RNA", at positions 56 to 901 of the family's 1533-position model. The record is from RNAcentral. Lineage: Bacteria; Bacillati; Actinomycetota; Actinomycetes; Propionibacteriales; Propionibacteriaceae.
UGCAAGUCGAACGGAAAGGCCCUGCUUUUGUGGGGUGCUCGAGUGGCGAACGGGUGAGUAACACGUGAGUAACCUGCCCUUGACUUUGGGAUAACUUCAGGAAACUGGGGCUAAUACCGGAUAGGAGCUCCUGCUGCAUGGUGGGGGUUGGAAAGUUUCGGCGGUUGGGGAUGGACUCGCGGCUUAUCAGCUUGUUGGUGGGGUAGUGGCUUACCAAGGCUUUGACGGGUAGCCGGCCUGAGAGGGUGACCGGCCACAUUGGGACUGAGAUACGGCCCAGACUCCUACGGGAGGCAGCAGUGGGGAAUAUUGCACAAUGGGCGGAAGCCUGAUGCAGCAACGCCGCGUGCGGGAUGACGGCCUUCGGGUUGUAAACCGCUUUCGCCUGUGACGAAGCGUGAGUGACGGUAAUGGGUAAAGAAGCACCGGCUAACUACGUGCCAGCAGCCGCGGUGAUACGUAGGGUGCGAGCGUUGUCCGGAUUUAUUGGGCGUAAAGGGCUCGUAGGUGGUUGAUCGCGUCGGAAGUGUAAUCUUGGGGCUUAACCCUGAGCGUGCUUUCGAUACGGGUUGACUUGAGGAAGGUAGGGGAGAAUGGAAUUCCUGGUGGAGCGGUGGAAUGCGCAGAUAUCAGGAGGAACACCAGUGGCGAAGGCGGUUCUCUGGGCCUUUCCUGACGCUGAGGAGCGAAAGCGUGGGGAGCGAACAGGCUUAGAUACCCUGGGUAGUCCACGCUGUAAACGGUGGGUACUAGGUGUGGGGUCCAUUCCACGGGUUCCGCGCCGUAGCUAACGCUUUAAGUACCCCGCCUGGGGAGUACGGCCGCAGGUUAAAACU